RNAcentral lists this ribosomal RNA (250 nucleotides) under uncultured bacterium. RNAcentral describes it as "partial 16S ribosomal RNA". It matches the Rfam family "Bacterial small subunit ribosomal RNA", at positions 111 to 354 of the family's 1533-position model. The record is from RNAcentral.
UAACACGUAGGGAACCUGCCCAUGCGGCCGGGACAACUUCCGGAAACGGAUGCUGAUACCGGAUAAGGAAAGCGAAGGCAUCUUUGCUUUGUUAAAGGAGCUGCAAGGCUCCGCGCAUGGAUGGACCUGCGGUGCAUUAGCCGGUUGGUGAGGUAAAGGCUCACCAAGGCGACGAUGCAUAGCCGGCCUGAGAGGGCGAACGGCCACACUGGGACUGAGACACGGCCCAGACUCCUACGGAAGGCAGCAG